CUACUAGAUGCAUACUUGCAAGAACAGAAUAUUCAAGGAUAUAAUCUUUCAAUGUAGGGUAAUAACUGCUUGAUCCAAGGAUAAAUCUGACUGCCAUUCUGGGGUCAAGAAGGAAUUUUUUUCCUAGCUUGUUGCAAAAUUGUGCUUCAAACUGGGUUUUUUUGCCUUCUUUUGGAUCAACAGCAAAAAACAAAUGUGAGGUAGGCUGAACUUGAUGGACGCAAGUCUCUUUUCAGCUAUGUAACUAUGUAACUAUGUAAGAAUGAGG
Non-coding RNA from Pelobates cultripes (western spadefoot toad), 268 nucleotides. The record is from the annotation of a GenBank genome assembly. NCBI's taxonomy places the organism in Eukaryota, Metazoa, Chordata, Amphibia, Anura, Pelobatidae.